AGUAGUCAUAUGCUUGUCUCAAAGAUUAAGCCAUGCAUGUCUCAGUGCAAGCCACAUUAAGGUGAAACCGCGAAUGGCUCAUUAAAUCAGUUAUGGUUCCUUGGAUCCUACCAAUCCUACUUGGAUAACUGUGGUAAUUCUAGAGCUAAUACAUGCACCCAGAGCUCCGUCCAGAAAUGGCCGGGGCGCAGUUAUUAGAUCAAAACCAAUCGGUCGGGCUCGCCCGUCCGUCGUUUUGGUGACUCUGAAUAACCACCGCUGAUCGCACGGCCUCGCGCCGGCGACGUAUCCUUCGAAUGUCUGCCUUAUCAACUGUCGAUGGUAGGUUCUGCGCCUACCAUGGUUGUAACGGGUAACGGGGAAUCAGGGUUCGAUUCCGGAGAGGGAGCCUGAGAAACGGCUACCACAUCCAAGGAAGGCAGCAGGCGCGCAAAUUACCCACUCCCGGCACGGGGAGGUAGUGACGAAAAAUAACGAUACGGGACUCAUCCGAGGCCCCGUAAUCGGAAUGAGAACACUUUAAAUCUUUUAACGAGUACCUAAUGGAGGGCAAGUCUGGUGCCAGCAGCCGCGGUAAUUCCAGCUCCAUUGGCGUAUAU
This 599-nucleotide ribosomal RNA is filed under the name Dicentroptilum merina. RNAcentral describes it as "SSU rRNA". It matches the Rfam family "Eukaryotic small subunit ribosomal RNA", at positions 19 to 604 of the family's 1831-position model. Lineage: Eukaryota; Metazoa; Arthropoda; Insecta; Ephemeroptera; Baetidae. The record is from RNAcentral.